Molecule: long non-coding RNA, 1693 nt
Organism: Ursus maritimus (polar bear)
Lineage: Eukaryota; Metazoa; Chordata; Mammalia; Carnivora; Ursidae
Source: Ensembl
GCCUGGGAAUGUGAGGAAGAAGGGUCGCCUGUCCUCUGCGGCCUUGGCAGGGAGCACCCCUGCGCAGGGGGCGGCUGGAGGGGGCGGCGUCGGGCGAGACGGGCAGGGGAGGCGGCAUCCUGUGCGGCGGCCCUGAAACCCUUAGGAUUGUGCGUCUUCGUACCGCGCAGAGCUGCGCCCGCGCCCCCAGUCAGUAUUUACGCGCUGCUGGCACGUCAGGCCUGUUCUGUAACUGAAGGGACAUAGGUGAUGGAGAGAACCCAUGACUGCCUUGCACACGUGUUUAAGUGGACGCAUGGCCACGCCGGCUGUGGAUGUCAAUCCGCCUGGGCUGUAGAAAUCCUAGCAGCAGUCCUGGAGGACUCCCCUUCUCUUCGGGACACACUCCAUGCUGCUCGCCUGCCGGUCAAACGCUCUGGGCGUUACGUGCAGGCUGCCCAGUUAGGUGAGAGAGUUGUAAACUCUUGAGAGACAGUGAAAUCCAGGAUUCUGUACUCAGAUGUUUCCUAGAAGUCGACAAUUUCUUGUUCGUUUUUAAAAGGCAAUGACGGGGUUCACCCACUGUGCAUUGUGUCCUGUAGAGUUAGGGGUGAGGUGGUGUCUGGUAAGUAGGGUUUUGCUCAGAAAAAGCUGGGGCCCUACCCGAGGACAGGAUGAGUGGGUAGGUAUAUACUUAUUUUUAAGUUAAACUUGUAUCAUUUUUGUCACUGUGCAACCCACCUUUACAAUUUACUGAUCAACUGUUGGUCUCAGUCUAGCUGGAUACAGAGGCUUCUCUUUCAGAGAGAAAAGCCCUUCCAGGGUCCUGUUCCUCCACGGGCUCCAGCCUCUGCCCCAGUGCCCUCAUAGCUCUGGAGUUUGCCAGCGUGGAGUGUGGAGGAUGGAGAGCCUGGAUUGGAAGUGUGGGAGCUGAACUCUUAAGAAAGAGAUGUUGUCCUUGUAAAGUCCUUCCCUUGUGAGAUGCAAGAAAUUAAAUGUCCCUUCCAAGGGCAUGUGGCUAUGCUGUCAGUGGAGGUAGACUGUGAGGAAAGUUCCACCUGGGUUGGGUGGAUGGUUUUGGUGGAGGGAGAGGCUUGUGACCUGAGGGCUAUGGCCUUGGAGGCUGGCCACACAGAGCCAGCCUGGGUCAGCAGGGUGCCUGGCGGGUGGUGGGUGACCUGGGAGUCUGGCUGUCAUCAACCCUGUGCUCCUUGCAGUCCUCUCUUGCCUGUGCUCCUGCUCCCAGCCUCCAGGAUGGCAGCAGUUCUGGCCUGUCUGAAAGCGAGGAGAGUGUGUUCUCAGGCCUGGAAGAUUCCGGCAGCGACAGUAGUGAGGAUGACCCCCCCAAGGAAGAGGAUGGGGUCAGCAGUGACGAGGGCCAUGGCGAGACGGAGAAGACCACUGAGCAGCAGGUGCAGAAUGGGACCCCCUCCCCAAGGACGGCGAUGGCGAGAGUGCAGGGCUGUGAAGAGUACGCGGAGGACAGUUCUGACGAGGAGGACAUCCGGAACACGGUGGGCAAUGUGCCCCUGGAGUGGUACGAUGACUUCCCCCACGUGGGCUACGACCUGGACGGCAGGCGCAUCUACAAGCCCCUGCGGACCCGUGACGAGCUGGACCAGUUUCUGGACAAAAUGGACAACCCUGAUUACUGGUGCGCAGGCUCGGGGCGGGGCCUGUGCGGGGGGCGGGGGGCUUCGGGCUUGGCUCUGAC